ACAUGCAAGUCGAGCGGCAGCGGGAAGAUAGCUUGCUAUCUUUGCCGGCGAGCGGCGGACGGGUGAGUAAUGCCUAGGGAUCUGCCCAGUCGAGGGGGAUAACAGUUGGAAACGACUGCUAAUACCGCAUACGCCCUACGGGGGAAAGGAGGGGACCUUCGGGCCUUCCGCGAUUGGAUGAACCUAGGUGGGAUUAGCUAGUUGGUGAGGUAAUGGCUCACCAAGGCGACGAUCCCUAGCUGUUCUGAGAGGAUGAUCAGCCACACUGGGACUGAGACACGGCCCAGACUCCUACGGGAGGCAGCAGUGGGGAAUAUUGCACAAUGGGGGAAACCCUGAUGCAGCCAUGCCGCGUGUGUGAAGAAGGCCUUCGGGUUGUAAAGCACUUUCAGUAGGGAGGAAAGGGAGAGGCUUAAUACGUUGGUGCUGAGAC
This 433-nucleotide ribosomal RNA is filed under the name Shewanella sp. RNAcentral describes it as "bacterial SSU rRNA". It matches the Rfam family "Bacterial small subunit ribosomal RNA", at positions 53 to 478 of the family's 1533-position model. The record is from RNAcentral. Lineage: Bacteria; Pseudomonadati; Pseudomonadota; Gammaproteobacteria; Alteromonadales; Shewanellaceae.